RNAcentral lists this ribosomal RNA (227 nucleotides) under uncultured bacterium. RNAcentral's name for it is "partial 16S ribosomal RNA". It matches the Rfam family "Bacterial small subunit ribosomal RNA", at positions 524 to 748 of the family's 1533-position model. The record is from RNAcentral.
UACGUAGGUGGCAAGCGUUGUCCGGAUUUACUGGGCGUAAAGAGCGCGCAGGCGGUCGUCCAAGUCGCGUGUGAAAGCCCCCCGGCUCAACUGGGGAGGGUCACGCGAUACUGAUCGACUCGAAGGCAGGAGAGGGUAGUGGAAUUCCCGGUGUAGUGGUGAAAUGCGUAGAUAUCGGGAGGAACACCAGUGGCGAAGGCGACUACCUGGCCUGUUUCUUGACGCUG